RNAcentral lists this ribosomal RNA (572 nucleotides) under uncultured Glomeromycotina. RNAcentral describes it as "SSU rRNA". It matches the Rfam family "Eukaryotic small subunit ribosomal RNA", at positions 548 to 1114 of the family's 1831-position model. Lineage: Eukaryota; Fungi; Glomeromycota. The record is from RNAcentral.
UUGGAGGGCAAGUCUGGUGCCAGCAGCCGCGGUAAUUCCAGCUCCAAUAGCGUAUAUUAAAGUUGUUGCAGUUAAAAAGCUCGUAGUUGAAUCUCGGGAUUGACGUGAUGGUCAUGCCUUAAGGGGUAUGAACUGUCACUGUUGAUUUCUCACCUUCUGGAGAAACUUGAUGUCCUUUAUUGGGUGUCUUGCGGAUCCAGGACCUUUACCUUGAAAAAAUUAGAGUGUUUAAAGCAGGCAUUUUUGCUCGAAUACAUUAGCAUGGAAUAAUAGAAUAGGACGGCAUGGUUCUAUUUUGUUGGUUUCUAGGAUCACCGUAAUGAUUAAUAGGGAUAGUUGGGGGCAUUAGUAUUCAAUUGUCAGAGGUGAAAUUCUUGGAUUUAUUGAAGACUAACUACUGCGAAAGCAUUUGCCAAGGAUGUUUUCAUUAAUCAAGAACGAAAGUUAGGGGAUCGAAGACGAUCAGAUACCGUCGUAGUCUUAACCAUAAACUAUGCCGACUAGGAAUCAGACGAUGUUAAUUUUUUAAUGACUCGUUUGGCACCUUACGGGAAACCAAAGUGUUUGGGUUC